GAAGUGAAUGGACUGCUUUGAAUCUUCAAGGCAUUAAUUUUCCAAACGUUUGAAUUCCAUCCCUAGUCUGAGAGCUAGGGAUGCAGCCUAGCAAGGGAAACAGCAGCCUCAGCACCCCCUGGGAGCUUGAGACAUCUAAGGAGUUGACUGAGGCCCCUCCCUGACAUACUGAAGCGGAAUCUGCAUUUUAGCAAGAUCUGCAGGUUGUGCAAUCUACCACAUGGGGAUCAGCAGGAGGCUCUGCCCUCCCUUCACUCAGAUUAAUGGAGGUUCCACCAUCUGGUGGCUGCAGCCCUGAAACAUGAAGCCUUGUUGGUGUGACCAUGGCAGGGGAAGAAAGAGGCUGGGAGUUUGCACAGGGGCUUUUUACUGCCUCAGCCUGAAAGUGACAUGUGUCCUUUCUACUCUAGGAUCUCUGGUCAGAACUAGUCACGAGAUCUUCCCUAACUGCCAGGACACUGGGAAAUGAAAGGGAACAAUGGAAUCAUUGGUGAGCUUUACUGUCUCUGCUCCAGGGUGGCUCGUAGACUCAAAUGAAAACGCUGGAGGCUCAGAUCUGGGACUGAAUGUGGACCAGAGAACUUGGGAGACCUUGCCAGCAGCAGCUGAUGGAGGUCUGGUCAGGCUGUCAUCCAUUUUCAGCUAUCUGUCACCCUCUCAGGAUUUGCACCGGAGAAAGAGUGAGAGGAGAGAGAGAGAGAGAGAGAAAACAACUGAUUGGCCCGGGCAGGUUCUAUGUCCCACUUGAAACACAAGUUAAUGGACAACUUGAUUGACAGAGUUGCACUAAAAGGUAGUGGGGGGAGUUCAUCCAAACAAAACUGGGGUGCUGUUACAACAAGAGAGGGAGGGUAGGUGCAUAGUGAGCAAAAGCACACACUUGCUGCAGAGCUGGUCCAAAUACCCACUCCAGAGUUGACAUCAUCUGGAAGGUUUAUAGAAGUGGGGGCUUUCCAGAUUUGCUUUGGAGGAUGGGAUAACUGAUGCAGAGGAAAGGUAAUGCAGGCUGAGAGGCCCGUGUAAGCAAAGUGAAGCUGCAGAAAAGUGCAAUCAUUUGCAAGAAAGAGAAGGCUGGCCAGGUGCAGCAGCUCACACCUGUAGUCCCAGCACUGUGGGAGGCCGAGGCGGGAGGAUCCCUUGAGCCCAGGAGUUUGAGACCAGCUUGAGCAACACAGGGAGAUCCUAUAUCUACAAAAAAUGUAAAAAUUAGCCAGGCAUGGUGGUGCCUGCCUAUAGUCCUAGCUGCUCGGGAGGCUGACAUAGGAGGAUUACCUGAGCCUUGGGAGGCUGAGGCUGCAGUGAGUCAUGAUUUUGCCACCACACUCCAGCCUGGGCAACAGAGUGAAACCCUGUCUCAAAAAGAAAAAAAAAAAAAAUGAGAAGGCUUUUGAGACUGAACAGAGGAUAUGAUUUGCAGUUACAUUUUCACCCCAACUUACCCAGCUUAUCUUUCCUUCCCGUGAUGUCAACUCAGGGGACGCAAAUGGGUGGAGGCUGGUUGGAAUGGCUCAAACUACAUCAUGAGAUUGGAGCCUGGUCCUCCAUGUUGGCUGAGAGUCUCAGUUCUCCUCCACGUGGCCUCUCCUUGUGGUCAGCUUACAUUUCCUCAAAACGUGGCAGUCUCAGGGCAGUUGGGUUUCUUGUGCGCUGGCUCAGGGCUCCUGAGAGGAUAAAAUCAGAAUAUCUUGUUCUUCGUCAGGCUUGGGCGCAGACUAACACAGCAUCAUUAUCUUUUUAUUCUGUGAGUUAACAUAUUUCAGAGGACCAGUGCAGAUUCAGAGUGGAGAGGGCUGCAUAAGAACACGAACACUGGGAAGUGGCUUCAUUUGGGGCCAUCUUUGGAGACCAACUAUGAUGCAUGAUGUAACUGACCUGAAUUCCCAAGCUCCUACCCCCAGCUCCAGCAUAAGAUAGACUGCGGAAUGGCCCAUGAGGCCAAGCACCUAUUAGUAGACCAAGAAGCAUCAUCCAUCCGUGACCUAGGUUGGCAGCCAGCUAUCAUUCUCAUCUGAGUCUGGGAGUUCAGGAUUUCCAUCCUGACCCAGCUACUUUCUUUCAACAGUUACCCACUGUAAAUUUCCGAAUACUUUCAACUACUAAUCCCAGUGUACCCAAUUAAAAAUGGCUUUCCUAAUAAAGGCAUUUCCGAUCGAA
Molecule: long non-coding RNA, 2154 nt
Organism: Symphalangus syndactylus (siamang)
Lineage: Eukaryota; Metazoa; Chordata; Mammalia; Primates; Hylobatidae
Source: RefSeq, a predicted model, not a curated record